RNAcentral lists this ribosomal RNA (516 nucleotides) under Thermodesulfobacterium sp. TERISRB1001. Its description in RNAcentral is "bacterial SSU rRNA". It matches the Rfam family "Bacterial small subunit ribosomal RNA", at positions 32 to 505 of the family's 1533-position model. The record is from RNAcentral. Lineage: Bacteria; Pseudomonadati; Thermodesulfobacteriota; Thermodesulfobacteria; Thermodesulfobacteriales; Thermodesulfobacteriaceae.
AACGCUAGCGGCGCGCCUAACGCAUGCAAGUCGAGCGGGAAAGCCGGCUUCGGCCCCAGUGGGACCGCGGCAGACGGGUGAGUAACACGUGAGUAACCUAAAGUCCUCGGGUCUGGGAUAACCACCCGAAAGGGGGGUGGCUAAUACCGGAUAAAGUCACCGGGCGCAAGCUCGGUGCCAUGAUGAAAGGAGGGCUCUGAUAGCGCAAAAGCUCCGGCCUGAGAGGGGCUGCGGCCCAUCAGCUAAGUUGGUGGGGUAGACGGGCACCAAGGCUAUGACGGGGUAGCCGGCCUGAGAGGGUGGUGGGCCACACGGGCAUUGAGACACGGGCGCGACUCCUACGGGAGGCAGCAGGGGGGAAUCUUGGGCAAUGGGCGGAAGCCUGACCCAGCGACGGCGCGUGGCGGGAAGAAGGUUUCUUCGGGUCGUAAAACCCCUGUUCUGGGGGGAGACCCUGGCUGGGUAAGAGCCCAGUCGGCUGACGGUACCCCAGGGAGAAAGCCACGGCUAACUGCG